AGCAGCCGCGGUAAUUCCAGCUCCAAUAGCGUAUAUUAAAGUUGUUGCAGUUAAAAAGCUCGUAGUUGAAUUUCGGGACCAAUAUGUCGGUCGUGCCUCGGUACGUACUGGUGUCAUUGGUUUCUCCCUUCUGAGGAUCCUCGAUGUCAUUAAUUUGGUGUCUUGGGGAAUCAGGACUGUUACCUUGAAAAAAUUAGAGUGUUUAAAGCAGGCAUGCGCUUGAAUACAUUAGCAUGGAAUAAUGAAAUAGGACGUUCGAUUCUAUUUUGUUGGUUUCUAGGAUCGACGUAAUGAUCAAUAGGGAUAGUUGGGGGCAUUAGUAUUCAAUUGUCAGAGGUGAAAUUCUUGGAUUUAUUGAAGACUAACUACUGCGAAAGCAUUUGCCAAGGAUGUUUU
RNAcentral lists this ribosomal RNA (396 nucleotides) under uncultured Glomeromycotina. Its description in RNAcentral is "SSU rRNA". It matches the Rfam family "Eukaryotic small subunit ribosomal RNA", at positions 569 to 970 of the family's 1831-position model. The record is from RNAcentral. Lineage: Eukaryota; Fungi; Glomeromycota.